Danio rerio (zebrafish) is the source of this 83-nucleotide non-coding RNA. Lineage: Eukaryota; Metazoa; Chordata; Actinopteri; Cypriniformes; Danionidae. The record is from Rfam.
GUCAGGAUGGCCAAGCGGUCUAAGGUGCUGCGUUCAGGUUGCAGUCUCACCUGGAGGCGUGGGUUCGAAUCCCACUUCUGACA